Molecule: ribosomal RNA, 468 nt
Filed under: uncultured bacterium
Lineage: Bacteria
Description: partial 16S ribosomal RNA
Rfam family: Bacterial small subunit ribosomal RNA
Source: RNAcentral
GACGAACGCUGGCGGCGUGCUUAACACAUGCAAGUCGAACGGCAAGGCACUGCUUUUGUGGGGUGCUCGGGUGGCGAACGGGUGCGUAACACGUGAGUAACCUGCCCUUGACUUUGGGAUAACUUCAGGAAACUGGGCUUACUCCCGUAACGCAUCCCACCUUCGGGGGUGGGGAUGGGAACUUUGAGGCGGUUGGGGAUGAAUGGGCGGCUUUCCAGCUAGUUGGUUGGGUGGGGGAUUACCAAGGAUUGGAAGGGUCCCCGGCCGGGGAGGGUGACCGGCCACAUUGGGACUGAGAUACGGCCCAGACUCCUACGGGAGGCAGCAGUGGGGAAUAUUGCACAAUGGGCGGAAGCCUGAUGCAGCAACGCCGCGUGCGGGAUGACGGCCUUCGGGUUGUAAACCGCUUUCGCCUGUGACGAAGCGGGAGUGACGGUAAUGGGUAAAGAAGCACCGGCUAACUACGUG